GCGGGAGGCUCUGGUGCUGG
Molecule: microRNA, 20 nt
Filed under: Bovine leukemia virus
Lineage: Riboviria; Pararnavirae; Artverviricota; Revtraviricetes; Ortervirales; Retroviridae
Description: blv-miR-B4-5p
Gene: blv-miR-B4-5p
Source: miRBase by way of RNAcentral